RNAcentral lists this transfer RNA (73 nucleotides) under Paramuricea clavata. It matches the Rfam family "tRNA". From Rfam's summary of the family: Transfer RNA (tRNA) molecules are approximately 80 nucleotides in length. Their secondary structure includes four short double-helical elements and three loops (D, anti-codon, and T loops). Further hydrogen bonds mediate the characteristic L-shaped molecular structure. tRNAs have two regions of fundamental functional importance: the anti-codon, which is responsible for specific mRNA codon recognition, and the 3' end, to which the tRNAs corresponding amino acid is attached (by aminoacyl-tRNA synthetases). tRNAs cope with the degeneracy of the genetic code in two manners: having more than one tRNA (with a specific anti-codon) for a particular amino acid; and 'wobble' base-pairing, i.e. permitting non-standard base-pairing at the 3rd anti-codon position. Lineage: Eukaryota; Metazoa; Cnidaria; Anthozoa; Malacalcyonacea; Plexauridae. The record is from Rfam by way of RNAcentral.
GCCGAAAUAGCUCAGAUUCGAGAGCGUCAGACUGAAGAUGUGAAGGGCGCUGGUUCAAUCCUGGGUUUCGGCA